Callithrix jacchus (white-tufted-ear marmoset) is the source of this 7489-nucleotide RNA transcript. RefSeq lists it as uncharacterized. The record is from RefSeq and is a predicted model, not a curated record. Lineage: Eukaryota; Metazoa; Chordata; Mammalia; Primates; Cebidae.
GCCAUCACUGUGAUGCUGCCCCCUAUGGCCGAGGGGCCAGAAAUGAUCUGGCGCCCUGGGGUAGUGCUGUAGGAGAGGCCCCCACAGGAGACUCCACCACGGGAGCUGCUGACACCUGUGGAGAGAAGAGACAUGGAGGGCCCCAAGUUGCUGUCUGAAAAGUGAAGAGGCUGAUACCCAUCCCAACUGCUCACUGUGAAGAUGAACUCGGAUCACUGAAGAAAAAGUGAAAACGGGAAAGUCACUGCUUCUGCCGCCUAAACCCUGAUCCUAGGCCCCCAAGCCUGGUCCUUCUACUCUGCUAGAGGCCUGUGGACACAGGAGGAGCCUGUGAAGGAGGCUCCCAGCCUCCCCUCACAAAACUUUCUUGGGAGGCAGCCUCACAGCUAUGCAGCAUUCUUCAUGGUCUGGGUACAUUAGGAGGCCUCCUCCUGCCAGCCUGGCCACCUCUCUGCAUUCCAGCCCUCCCUCAUGAAGGGGCUGCCAAGCCUGGACUGGCUAACUGUCACACCUCUUCACCCACCACCGUCCUUGGAAAGUAAUGAUAAUAACAGCUGACAUGUACUGAGGGCUUACUAUUUGCCAUCAUGUUUCAUGCGUGGACUCAUUAACCCUCACAGGUGGAUGAGGCGGGUCCUGUUAUCCAGCCGAGUAACCUGCCUGGGGUUUCACACUGCUGAGUCAUGCAGCGAGGGCUUGGGGGAGGCAGUGUGGCUCUGGGCACUCCCAGCCCCUUCACAGGCUGCUGACUAGGAGACACAGUCCUUUUGGUCUCCCCAUUAUCUCCCACUCUUCCAGCACCUGCUGCCCAGUCCAAGUUUUCAGACACAGUUCUUAUAGUUCUAUGUCAUGUUGGCUCAAGAAAGACAUGCAUGCUCACACAGAUACACUCACAGGCACACACACACACAUAUACUCACACAACACACAUAUACACACACUAACACACACACACGCACACAUACCGCUACACACAUACAGAUGCACACACUUUGGACCACUGGCUCAAUGUCUAGACCACAGGAGACAUCAUUCAAUGCUGCGGGAGUUAAAUGAUGGAAACUGACCCUUCCACCUAUGUGGGUCUGCAGGUCAUUCCCUCUGCUGCCUCAACCCCGCAGCCAUCCUGUCUCCUCAGCAGAUCGGGACCUCCCUGAGGGAGGGCAGGGCUGGGGGCUUCUCUGGACCGUCUCAGGCCUCACCCACCUUGUCGAUGAAGGCCGCGAACCUGCUGUUGAGGCACUUGAUCUGCUCUUUCUCCUCCUGCUUCACGCACUGCGCGUUGGGGUCGAUCUCCAGGUUGAGGGGCGUGAGGAGGCUCUCGUUGACCGACACGGUGGUGAUGCAGGGGGGGCUGGGCCCGCACACACCCCCGGAGCGGUAGCCGAAGCUGCGUCCGCAGGAACCAGCGCGGAAGCCACCCACGGCUAUGCGGGGCCCACAGGAGCCCAGGUUGCAGAGGCUGCGGCUGCCGAAGCCCGUCAGCCCCCUGUAGCAGGACACCCCUCGGUAAGUGGGGGCGCUGAUGCAGCAGCGGUUGCCGGUUUUGGGGGCCACAGCUGAGCAGGAGCUGAAGUUCCUGGUGACCCCGCAUCCUGAGCUGAUCCUGUAGGAGCGGCACGACAUGGUGUGCGGCUGAGCAGAGUCUGAGAGGCAGCGGACAGUGGUGCGGGCGGCAGAGUGCGAGGCUCAGGAUCCUUCUGGUCUCUCUGAUCCUCCCUGGUCCUUUUAUUGGUGGGGAGAGCUGGGGUUGGCUGCAUAAAAGGAGUGAAAAGCCAUUUUAUGUUGUUUAUGGGCUUGGGGAGUUUGCCAGCAACUCCCCACGGACUCAUCUUAAAGGUGAGCUCAGCAGCGACUCUGGGGCUCCGUGAAGUCUUGAAGAUGUUAUUAAGGAUACUGCGUUUGCACUUUUCAUCUUCAAAGCUCGUUUACAUACAUUAAGUAAUUAAUUUUCUCACAGUCUCUCUGUGAGAUGGCCUCAACCCACACUCGGAGACAGAUUUGAACUGCACAAUAGCCUGGGGCUGGUUGGGUUUGGGAUACAGGCAGGGGCCAUUGUCUCAAGGGAGAGGUUGUAGGGUCCUAGGUUAGAUGAGACUGGGGGCGGGGCGGUUAUUGCAUCCUUCUGCCUGGUUCCACAGAGGACACAUUCUCAAGUAAAUCAUUGCACUUCAGGGGCCAGUAUGUCAGGUGAAUCCUGCCCCAUCCAGGCAGCAUUUCUUGGAGGUGGUUCAGGACCAGAGCGGUCAUACUGAUCAUGACCAUGCCAGGAUGGAGGGCUGGGGCAGAUGGUCUCUUGGAACCUUCUGGAUUCCAGUCCAGAAGGCACUGCUCCAGAGCUUUCAUUUCUCACCCAGCAAAAGUGCAAACCACACAACUUUCAGUGGCCACAAUAAUGGCCACUUGUGGAUUAUAGGGAGACUCCCUCUAGACACUUUCUUCCGUUUGGCCAAAAGGAUUGGAGAACUCAACCUUAGGAUAACCUGGGGACUAUAAAUUUGCUGUGGGCACCUUUCCUUUGCUCUUUAAGAAGAAAGAGGUCAUGUGAGCCUCCCUUCCCAGACCACCAGCUGCAGGAGGUAUUCCUUCUGUUGGCCAGCCCCAGAACUGUCAUCCCUAGAGGAGACUGCAUUGCACAAAGCUGGAAGUGGGAUGGUGGCUUAUUCUUGUCUGAGGUUGCCAUGAUUUCUGGCUCCUAGGGUUCUGGGAGCCCCAUCCUUCUGGUUUCUGCUUCCCUGGUGUCCUUGGGUGACUUAUUAGGAUAAUGAGUGCUAUUCUUUUAAUGUUUAGGGAGUACAAAUCUUGGGGAUGUCCAUCUGCCCCCAGGGAGGUUAGCCAGACACCCAAGUGUCAGGAACUUUAGGAAGAAGAGCUGAUGAGCUUCCUCAGAGGGUGACUCCUCCAGGAAGCCUUCUGUAACCAAGCUCUGCCACUGUGCUGCUGUUCCCAUAAGUCCUUCAUGAAAUGCCCUACACUCUGUCCUGCAUCUGCCCUCAUCUCCACAGCUAGCCGACCUCCCCCAGGACCUUCACCCAGGAUCAGGCUGAAUGAUUCCCAUCUCACCUCCACAUUUCACAUUGUUCUUCAGGGCAGGGCAGAGAGAGCUUGGCAGCUGGUGAGUCUCACCAGCUGCCCCUAGAACAUAUCCAGGUCAUAAUCAUCCAUGGAAAAGCAACUGAGUUUGGCAACCUGGUAAUGGAAUCAAAGCUGGAAGACCUGGUUCAAGGUCCAGUUUGGAUCCUUACUAGCAGUAUGGCUUUGGGGAACUUCUUAACCUCUCUGAGCCUCUGUUUCCUUAAAUGUAAUGUGAAAUUCAUCCUUAAAUUCCGGAGCUGUUUUGAGGGUGAAGUACAUGAUACAUGAGAAUGUGCGGUUGAAAUGGUAAGGCUCUGGGUAACGGGAAGGACCUAUUGCUUCCCAUGAGAAACAUUCCCACCUGCCUUGCCCAGCAGAGAGGGCCUACUCCUUGCCCUGCCGUGGUCUUCACCUCCUCUGCAUGUUUAUGACUCCUUUACCCUUUCAAGGUUGCUUUUAAUGUUUCCUUUAGUCUGAUUUCACUUGUAUAGCAAUUCUGGGUGGAGUCUGGGGACAGAGAGGAGGCUCUGUGGGAGACCACAGGGGAUGAUGAUUCCCCAGCCCCCACUGCUCAGUGCCUGUUGCCAGGGACCAGGGAUGUCAAAAGGAUUGGAGAUCUCAACCUGGGGGCUAUGAGUUUGGACAGUGAGUUCACUGACUGGCUGCCGUGUAGACCUCGCGCUGGUGUGGUGUGGGCCAAGAGGGAGUCCUGAGCGUGGGAGGUGGAGGGGCCUGAAAGUCCAUAAAUACCUCCCCCUCUCCACAACUCCCUUAAGCCUCUGCCCUCCUCCAGGUUGUUAAAGAUGAUAGGACCAGAGCCAUUUCUGUUCCUCCUUGAGGGCAGGAGGUUUUGUCCUGGAGGGAGGCUCCUGUUUCAGUUGCUUUCUCCUGGACCCAAUGCACACUCCAUCUAACCCUCCACCCUAACUUGGGAAGGGAAGGUGGUGCCAGGGGAUUCAGGAGACUGGGGGUAGUCCGUUGUUUCCAGAACUAAGAUACCUCUCCAGGACCAUCAGGUCUAUGCAGCCCAAGGGUGCAAGCCCCUGCAACGGCCCACCCUGCCCACCCAGCUCAUGCGUGCUGGGUGAAGCUUGCAUCACUGCUGAUGGCAAUGCUGAGCCCAGGGCUUGGGGGGCUGCCCAGGUUGUCCAGGUGGAGCUUCAGAUUGGAGGAGCUGGGCUGAGGGCAAAGCCUUGAGGGGAGCUGAUCCUCACUGGUCUGGUCCCAGGUGGUCCAGGGCCAGUGAGCAAGUCAGGGCAGGUGGAUCUGGCACAGCUGUCCUGGAAGGACCUGGGCCUUUGCUUAUGGUUCUACCCAGGGGGGACUCAGAGAGCAUGUAGCCUCUCUAGCCAUCACCCAAACACCCUGCUCAGUGGAACCCAAGUCGUUGCCCUGAGAGUCAGGAUCUUUGCAGGGCUGGAAGCCCCAUCUCCUUUCAGUGUCUCAUCCUUAUUCACUGUGCCCUCGUUUGCCUGUGCCCCGUCACACCCCACUCCCUUCCGUCAACCUUCUCCCUGUCACACCUUGGCCUGGAAUGUUCGAGAACAGCUGCCUCUUCCAGGAAGCCUUUGUGAGAUCAUUAGAGGGAGGCUGUGAUUUCUCCUCCCUCUGUCUCAUAAAUGCCCUCUCUGGGGCUCUCCAGUUAACCCCAAUUAUCCCCUUCACACCCUCUUGUCCUAAGGGCUAUCACUUGUCAUCUCCCUUAGCCCUGUCCCCUCUUGUUCUCUGCACCUUUUGAAGUCCCCAUCUAGUUCUGGAAAUCUCAAGAGUCCACAACCCAGCCGUAAAGUGCUCCCAAGAGGCUGCUUUUUUCAAAAAGCCUUCAAUAACUACUUGGAGAGAGAAGUUCCUUACCCUACCCUGAAGCCCUAGGCAACAUCUGAGUCCCCCUGUGAUCUGCCCCACUCCAGAGUACAGAUUCUGGGGUUUUCUCAGAGGCCUCCCUGCUCCCAUCUCAGCCCUAUCUUCAGGCAGUGCGUUUUGCCUGAGCUGGGAUGCUCCCUGGGGCAGCUGGCUCUCCCCAUCCCAGAGGCCCACUGCCUCCCUUCCCUUCUGCUUUUUCCACUGUGCUAAAAUCCCCUGCCUUUAGGAAGACUUCCUGGAUUUGUCCAAAGACAGGAGGGCACUGGCACCUCCCCCUGUCCUGCACUGACUGUCCUUAGGGCUGCCUGUCUAUCCUCCCAGUUUUGUGUUUGUGUCUGCCUGGGCUCUUGUGGGUUGUCUUCCUAUCUCUUCUAGUGGGCUGGUCCUCCUCGGUCAAUCCCGAUGGGUUCCCCAUGGACAAGGCCUGCACAGCUGAUUUAAGUUGGGCACCGCUCUUUGCCUCUGCUGGCCACACUUUCAUUAUGCAUCCAAGGCUACGCCACUGCUGGUGUUGAGAGUGAGAGAAGGGAGGCCGGAGCCACUUGAUGUUCUGCAGUGUGUCAUGGUAGGGUUCUGUGCCCAGCUGACACAGCUGCUCCCUGGUCUGUGGCCCACAGGAACUCCAAGAAACUCCACUCUCCUCCUGAACUCUGUCGGCGUGCCUUCCUGGCAGCACUCCCUGGUGCUUUGCUGUUUUCCAUGGUUACUCCGGGUCAGAGCAGAUGCUCAGUCAUUACAGAGCCUCUGAGGAGUAGAGUGCAUAAGUGAUUUUGAAAUUUUUUCUUUUCUUUUUGGCAGUAGAGCCAUCUUCCUAAAUCCUAGGAGGAGAACAGCUAUAGAAAGCCGUGUAUCUACUUACUUAGUUAUAGAAUAGAUAAGAUUGACGUGCUGGUCUUCCUGUUUGCCCCUGGCCUCCCAUCUCCAUUCUCAACACAGGAGAGUGAGCCCCAUAAAACAUAAGUUGGAUCAUGCCACUCCCUGCUCGAACCCCCAACUCCCCAUUUCACUUGGAGUUCCAACGAUGGCAAUAGGGCCCUGCACUGCCUGUCCAUAUUGUGGCAUUUGUCACUGGUCUCCCUGUGCUCCUGGAGCAUCAGGACGGGUUACACUCCUGACUCAGAGCCUGUGCCCUGCUGCCCCUUCCGCCCAAAUGCUCUCCUCUCAUCCACGUGGCUUGCCCAUCACCUCCUGCAGGGCUUUUCCCCAUACCAUCUCUCUGACUCUUUAAAAAAAUGGCAACCCACUCUCCACCCCAGGGCACUCUCCAUCCAGCUUAUCUUGCUCUGAUACACACUCCAGAAUUUACUUAUUUAUUCUCUUUACAGAUUAUUGUCUGUUUCUCCCCUCAUCCCAAAGUAAACUCCCUGGGAGCAGAGAUUUUAUCUGUCUUGUUUAUUUUGUUCACCUAGAACAGUGCUUGGACUACGGUAAGUGCUCAGUAAAUAUUGUUGUCUGAUGAAUGUAUAAAUGAAUGGAUAUCUUGAAUACUUUAGAUAUUUGAGGUUUGGCAGAAAAUGUCAGCUUGUGGGAAGCCUUGGCCCUUGAGCCCUGAGGAGCUCACUCAGUUUGAAAGCCGCGGGCUAAGCCCCCUCCCUGGGUCUUUCCUGCUUCAAGGCUGUGGUUUUCUGAACACCCAUGGAGACCAAGAGCACGGGCGGUGAAAACGGCUGUGUUGGGUUGGUGAGAAAGGAGAUGGACUUCUUUUUAAAAGCUGUUAUUUAUUGUUUGUAUGUUUGUGUCCUAAUUACAAAUUUGGAGGAAAACAAAAUGGUUUCACAAGACUCUAAGCUCCCUCCUCCGCUCGCUGUAUUGCACAAGCCAAUCCUGCUGGUAGCCUGCUUUGAACAUCUCCUGUGCCUUCUUGUCCGAAGCUGGUGGCCAGAAGAGGGCAGCAAAUUCCCACAACUGGCCUGGCAGCAGUUCAGUUGUGGCAGAAGCAGAAAAGGCCAGGGAUCUGCCUGUGGCUGGCUCUGGUUUCCAGAGCUUUGGAAGCUGAAGAUAGUCCCUGAUGCUCCUGCACCCACCCGUGGCUGGUUCUGGAGUGGCUGAACUGCUGACACAGCUGCUGUUCAUUGAUAAACAGACACCGAGCCCACCACCAGACUGAAGCAAUCAUGCCCCACCAUGUGCCAGGUUCAGUGCUAAGCACCUUGGAUUGCCAUUGCACGUCAUCCCCACAGCUCUUUGAGAGACAGGGUCUCCUCAUAUUACCCAGGCUAGUUUCGAACUUCCAUGCUCAAGUGAUCCUCCUGCCUCAGCCUUCUGCAGGGUUGGACUACCGGCAUGAGCCACUUCGCCUGACCUCUAUUGAUUUUUCAGUAUAUCUCUCUGCAUUACUUUUUAGUGGCUACUCUAGAGAUACAACGUAUGUAAUCUACUCUUUCAUAGUCUGCUUAGAGGUAAUUUUUAUCACUUACAUAGAACUUCCUCCCUUUGUGUGAUAGUCAUCACAGAUAGUUCAUCUACAUGAAUUAAAACCCCACCAACGGGCCCCGUUUUUAUUUUCAGUAGUCAUAUGUAUUUUAAAGAAUAUAAAAUAAACAAAAAUACA